RNAcentral lists this long non-coding RNA (1163 nucleotides) under Rattus norvegicus (Norway rat). Its description in RNAcentral is "long non-coding RNA NONRATT000087". Lineage: Eukaryota; Metazoa; Chordata; Mammalia; Rodentia; Muridae. The record is from RNAcentral.
GAGAAAGGAUGGAGCUGAAGUCCAAAGUGAAACAGAUCAAAGAACUUUUGUUAAAGCCUGAGACCCAGGCCAAGAUUAGAAAGGAGCUUUUUGAAGGAAGAGUUUUUAAUAAUGGUGACCCAACUGAUUUCAACAUGACUUUGCCAUAGCUCUCCGCUGCUGUUACGCUUGCUCACAUGUUUAUGAACUCUCAGCCCGUUAAAUAGCUCUUUGGUGAGUAACCAAAGUGUUCUUACGGUCUCUACAAAGCCCACAAACCAACAUUUGGUAAGGAACUAACAACUUCUUGCCAAAGAAAACGUAUUUUUGCCUUAUCGUGGUCACCAUCAUCACCGUCAUCAUCGUCAUCACCACCAUAAAAUUGAGUUUUAGAAUGUUCCUUUUGGUAUCUUACUCAUUUUAUAUAAAAACUUCUUAAUUAGCUGUUGUAAGAUGUUCCAUGGGUCCUUGCAGAUAAUAUUAUAUAUAUAUAUAUAUAUAUACACACAUAUAUGUACAUAUAUAUACAUAUAUAUACACAUAUACUCACACACUUUUAAAAAUCCUUUAUAGACAAAAACAGCAAAACAAAAUAAAACCAACAACAGUAUUCUAAGGGUCACCUGCCUCCUGUUGAUGUGGUCCUGUUACUUCAAAGGAAGCAUUGUCCGGGCCAGUCCAGUCUCAAGGUCCUUUUGCUGAGCGUUUGAGUGCUUAUUGAGGAUCAGCACUUGAACAGACAUUAGUAAGCGUAAUCGUUGUAGUCACGGGUUCAGAAUGUUUUAUACUAUCUAUAUUCUCUCUUUCAUUGAUGAAGUACAGUUUGCUUUUUUUUUUAAUUUUUUAUUUCUUCGUGAACAGUGUUCAGGGUUCCUAUUUCCUACUCUCUGAAGAUGAGCCCAAGCCUGCGUUCUUCACGGUUUGAGUAGCUUGCACUGGUUCCUUUGUAAACGAGCAUUCUUGAGUGUUAUUUGGGUAGUCACUUUAAAAUUGCUGCUACUAAUAGAUGAUGGGGAAAGAAAGUGAUUAGAGAUUAAAUAUAUAAUCAUCUCACAGUCCAGUUUGCUCGUGGAUUUUUGGCUAUUUCUUUCCACUGGGUAAAUGAUGCAUUAAUUCAUGAUGUAUUCCUUUAUACGUACCUACGUUUUCAUGCGUCAUAAUAAAAGUACUCUUUCCUCUAUUGC